UGGUUUUAAAUACUGUAUCACAUAGAAUUGAAUUUCUAAGAAAGAGCAGCCCUUAGAAUUUUUAAAGGCAUCCCUUGCUGGGCAUCUCCUCCACCCACCCCCCCGCUCCGUGUUUUUGGAGGGAAAAAAAGAUCGGAUCCAGAGAGCUGCCCAAUGGAAAUCCAUCAGUUAAGUUGCUAACCUCUUCACCCAUCCUUGCUCUUUUACCAUCAGUUUGAGGUCCAUGGGAUUAGCAGAAACCAACACAUAAGGGAUGAAGGUGCAAAGCUGGGGACCCUAGCCUCCUGCGAAGAGCCCACUAAGACUGCUCGCCUCCUCCCAAAGAAGCGCCCGCGGGCCAGUCUCUCUCCUCCGGCAGGUGCGUUCAAGAGAGCAGCUUCGCUUGCCCGUUCAUCCUCACCGGUGGCGCUCCUGACACCCGAGAGCAAACCUGGGCAGGAAUCGUGGGGGUUGCCGGAGUCUGGAUUUCCCUCUUCUGUGGUGACCUUAACUUGGAAGGAUCGCAAGUCUUUCUCUCUUUCCCACCCCCCACCCUCCUCUUUUUUGGCAAGGGCGGAGGGAGAGAGGAGAGGAGGGAGGCCGAGCCGCCGUCCAGCCUUCUUUCGCCUUGCGCUCGGGUUCCUGGCAAGGAAUUCCUCUUUAAAGGCGACUCCGAUUGCUGUGUCAGUCAGUCCAGACAGCGGCGGUGGUGGGAGGAGCUGGGGCUGCCGAUGCCGCCUCUUGCUUUGGAAGCGGCUGCCGGAGAUGCUUCGCGCUGGCGAGCGGAGCGGAGAGGAGCGCGCCCGUGAGCGAGGCAGCAGGCGAGCCGCCGACGGAGAGAGCCAGCCAGGCAGCCGGACGGAGAGCGACCGAGGCGGCGAAGCCCAACUCCAGCAUUGCCUGAGCCGCCGCUAAAGCUCUCCCACUGGCGAGAGACGGACCAGGGCGAGCGAGCGAGCGACGGAGGAGCCGCGCCGGGAAGAAGGAUACGGCUGCGAUCGCGGAGGGGAAACUGCUUGAGCGCCCAAGUUCCUGCCUCUUUCCCCCUUCCGUCUAACUCUUAAGGAAUGAAAGCUUUCCAGGCUGAUCUCGUCCUCCUCUGCUUCUUCCUCCUCAGCCAAGAGAAUAAAGCCCGCUUUGUAAAAAUUUGGAAGGAACAUACAACAGUGCUUCCAGGAAUACUGGGAAUCUCAUCAACUGUAUCUACCUUGAGAUGCAGUGCUUCUCCAAACAGAUCCUGUCCUCCAGCUCCGACACCUU
This is a non-coding RNA of Pogona vitticeps (central bearded dragon), 1239 nucleotides long. Lineage: Eukaryota; Metazoa; Chordata; Lepidosauria; Squamata; Agamidae. The record is from RefSeq and is a predicted model, not a curated record.